This 495-nucleotide ribosomal RNA is filed under the name uncultured bacterium. Its description in RNAcentral is "partial 16S ribosomal RNA". It matches the Rfam family "Bacterial small subunit ribosomal RNA", at positions 28 to 507 of the family's 1533-position model. The record is from RNAcentral.
GACGAACGCUGGCGGCGUGCCUAAUACAUGCAAGUAGAACGCUGAAGGAGGAGCUUGCUUCUCCGGAUGAGUUGCGAACGGGUGAGUAACGCGUAGGUAACCUGCCUGGUAGCGGGGGAUAACUAUUGGAAACGAUAGCUAAUACCGCAUAACAGUAGAUGUUGCAUGACAUUUGCUUAAAAGGUGCAAUUGCAUCACUACCAGAUGGACCUGCGUUGUAUUAGCUAGUUGGUGAGGUAACGGCUCACCAAGGCGACGAUACAUAGCCGACCUGAGAGGGUGAUCGGCCACACUGGGACUGAGACACGGCCCAGACUCCUACGGGAGGCAGCAGGAGGGAAUCUUCGGCAAUGGACGGAAGUCUGACCGAGCAACGCCGCGGGAGUGAAGAAGGUUUUCGGAUCGGAAAGCUCUGUUGUAAGGGAAGAACGAGUGUGAGAGUGGAAAGUUCACACUGUGACGGUAUCUUACCAGAAAGGGACGGCUAACUACGUG